GUGAAUUGCAGAAUCCCGUGAACCAUCGAGUCUUUGAACGCAAGUUGCGCCCGAAGCCAUUAGGCCGAGGGCACGCCUGCCUGGGUGUCACUA
RNAcentral lists this ribosomal RNA (93 nucleotides) under Zornia sp. US:Radosavljevic135. RNAcentral's name for it is "partial 5.8S ribosomal RNA". It matches the Rfam family "5.8S ribosomal RNA", at positions 67 to 154 of the family's 154-position model. Rfam says of the family: 5.8S ribosomal RNA (5.8S rRNA) is a component of the large subunit of the eukaryotic ribosome. The record is from RNAcentral. Lineage: Eukaryota; Viridiplantae; Streptophyta; Magnoliopsida; Fabales; Fabaceae.